UGCUAAAAAAGAUGAAUGAGCCAACGAUGUUUUGAAUCUGAUACAUACUAAUGUAUUAGAUCUACGAACAUAUUUGCCAUAAAUUUGGAUUAUUUGAAAUGUUCAAAUAAUUUCAUAAUAAGGUAGAGAAAUAAAUUAGGAAGAGCAUUGAAACUCUUCGAUCAAACCAAAGGGGAGAAUGCCCUUCUGGUGAGUUUUUGACAUAUCUAAAAAGGAAUAGAAUUUUCUCUUAUUAGAAUUGACUUUGUUAGACAAUUUGAUCCAUGAUG
Molecule: long non-coding RNA, 269 nt
Filed under: Elaeis guineensis (African oil palm)
Lineage: Eukaryota; Viridiplantae; Streptophyta; Magnoliopsida; Arecales; Arecaceae
Description: long non-coding RNA (EGUI_LNC059722)
Source: RNAcentral